Molecule: long non-coding RNA, 251 nt
Filed under: Elaeis guineensis (African oil palm)
Lineage: Eukaryota; Viridiplantae; Streptophyta; Magnoliopsida; Arecales; Arecaceae
Description: long non-coding RNA (EGUI_LNC011406)
Source: RNAcentral
CAACCCAAUGAUGGGAUAUCUAUUCUCGAGAUUGAGAAUCCAAGAUCACCCCCCAAGCAGUGAUUUUAGAUUGAAAUAUAAAGACAAAAAUACUUCUUAGUUAAGCAAAAUAUUUGGUAUAUCGAUAUAUCAUUAAUAUAUUAUAUCAAUAUUGUAUAUAUAUGAUAUUAUAUUAUAGUUGAUAUUAUAUAUUAUGUUUAUAAUAUAUAGAAAAAAUUAUACGAACAUCCCUUCAAGUUUAUCUCAAUUUC